Molecule: long non-coding RNA, 348 nt
Filed under: Vigna radiata
Lineage: Eukaryota; Viridiplantae; Streptophyta; Magnoliopsida; Fabales; Fabaceae
Description: long non-coding RNA (VRAD_LNC012534)
Source: RNAcentral
CAACUGGGUGGUUCCUCUCUGCACCGUCUUCCCCUUCCCAUUAAUGAAAACGUUCCAGCCUCCUUAAUUUUUCCCAGCAGCCAAUGUUAAAUAGAAAGCCCUCCAAAAUCCUCCAAACAACGUUCCAAAAGUUCCAAAGAAAAAAAAAAGAGUGGCGACUUGUAGCUUUUAAUGAAAACUAGCACCAAAUGUUUUUCCAAGAAAGCAAAUUCUCCACGGCUCUUAUCAAUUGAAAUGGAAGGAGCUCUUAUAAAUCAUUGGCAGCUGCAGCCCUUGCGUAAAAUAAAGGAAAAAAAAUGAACAAUUUUUAUUCAAUCAUGCCAAAAACCCAAGAACUACAUUGCUUCC